RNAcentral lists this ribosomal RNA (849 nucleotides) under Saccharomyces cerevisiae (brewer's yeast). RNAcentral's name for it is "eukaryotic LSU rRNA". The stretch from base 398 to 551 matches the Rfam family "5.8S ribosomal RNA". Lineage: Eukaryota; Fungi; Ascomycota; Saccharomycetes; Saccharomycetales; Saccharomycetaceae. The record is from RNAcentral.
CUCUUNUCGUNAUGGGGNCUGCGGAAGGAUCAUUAAAGAAAUUUAAUAAUUUUGAAAAUGGAUUUUUUUGUUUUGGCAAGAGCAUGAGAGCUUUUACUGGGCAAGAAGACAAGAGAUGGAGAGUCCAGCCGGGCCUGCGCUUAAGUGCGCGGUCUUGCUAGGCUUGUAAGUUUCUUUCUUGCUAUUCCAAACGGUGAGAGAUUUCUGUGCUUUUGUUAUAGGACAAUUAAAACCGUUUCAAUACAACACACUGUGGAGUUUUCAUAUCUUUGCAACUUUUUCUUUGGGCAUUCGAGCAAUCGGGGCCCAGAGGUAACAAACACAAACAAUUUUAUUUAUUCAUUAAAUUUUUGUCAAAAACAAGAAUUUUCGUAACUGGAAAUUUUAGAAUAUUAAAAACUUUCAACAACGGAUCUCUUGGUUCUCGCAUCGAUGAAGAACGCAGCGAAAUGCGAUACGUAAUGUGAAUUGCAGAAUUCCGUGAAUCAUCGAAUCUUUGAACGCACAUUGCGCCCCUUGGUAUUCCAGGGGGCAUGCCUGUUUGAGCGUCAUUUCCUUCUCAAACAUUCUGUUUGGUAGUGAGUGAUACUCUUUGGAGUUAACUUGAAAUUGCUGGCCUUUUCAUUGGAUGUUUUUUUUCCAAAGAGAGGUUUCUCUGCGUGCUUGAGGUAUAAUGCAAGUACGGUCGUUUUAGGUUUUACCAACUGCGGCUAAUCUUUUUUAUACUGAGCGUAUUGGAACGUUAUCGAUAAGAAGAGAGCGUCUAGGCGAACAAUGUUCUUAAAGUUUGACCUCAAAUCAGGUAGGAGUACCCGCUGAACUUAAACAUAUCAUAAAGCGCGAGAGAGG